GACGAACGCUGGCGGCGUGCUUAACACAUGCAAGUCGAACGGAAAGGCGCGGCGUUUGUGGGGUGCUCGAUUGGCGAACGGGGGAGUAACACGUGAGUAACCUGUCCUUAACUGUGGGAUAACUUCAGGGAACUGGGGCUAAUAUCGGGUAGGAGCUACUGCUGCAUGGGGUGGGUUGGAAAGUGUCGGCGGUUGGGGAUGGACUCGCGGGUUAUCCGCUAGUUUGUGAGGUAGUUGCUUACCAAGGCUUUGACGGGUAGCCGGCAUGAGAGGGUGACCGGGCACCAUGCGACUGAGAUACGGCCCAGAAUCCUACGGGACGCAGCAGUGGGGAAUAUUGCACAAUGGGCGGACGUCUGAUGUAGAAACCCUGCGAGCGGGAUGCCGUCUUUCUGGUUGUAAACCGAUUUCGAAUGUGCCGAACACUGAGUGACGGUACUGGGUAAAGAAGCACCGGCUAACUACGUG
RNAcentral lists this ribosomal RNA (468 nucleotides) under uncultured bacterium. RNAcentral's name for it is "partial 16S ribosomal RNA". It matches the Rfam family "Bacterial small subunit ribosomal RNA", at positions 28 to 507 of the family's 1533-position model. The record is from RNAcentral.